Long non-coding RNA from Esox lucius (northern pike), 1021 nucleotides. NCBI's taxonomy places the organism in Eukaryota, Metazoa, Chordata, Actinopteri, Esociformes, Esocidae. The record is from Ensembl.
GAAUGGCGGAGUAAACGCCACACCAACAUGAUGGUCUGUGGUAUUUUCUCCGAAAGCGAGGUGUUGCUGAACAGAACAUCAACCAGAUGCAACAAGACAAGUGUUAGACUUCAACAAUUUUGGGGGCUCGUCCGGGAUUGGAAAAGGGGAGAAGGAAUUCGACUUGGUCCAGUUGACCUAUACGGGACUCACAGGUUCCAGCACCGGUGCAUCAUAAAAAAGGUAAGCAGAGCCUGUUAUAUCUAAAUCUGCAUAUUGGCUAUGAACUAAAUUGUGAACCUGUGAAAAACGUAAUGGGACUGCUUUAAAUUCAGGAGGGCGAGGCAAUUGGUAUUGGUUCUGGGGUUGACUACCCUACGCCACUUCCUGACGGGGACGGUGGAGAGUUGCGAGUUAGAGUCUUUGCAACCAGUCGGGUUAGAGGCCCGAGGACUUAGGGGCACCUCGAAAUACUUAUUGUGUGUAAAGGUUCAGCUGGGUUAGAGGCCCAGGGAGUUUGGAACUCCCCGAAUUUUUUAUAAGAGAACUGGGUUCGAGUCCCAAAAGUGUUGGGUCAGGGACCCGUUAAUCAUUUGUUAAGCAUUCUGAGUCUGGGACUCACAGUAACAUAAGUCAGGGAGAAAUGGACGGGGAGUUUGAGAGAGAAGUUGAUGACGAUGGGUGGGGUCCAGGUACGGGAAAGUGGAAACAAUUGGGGAUACAGGUGGCAAAUGUAAUGACGGUUGUAGGCAGGAUGGACCCAAUUCAGAAAGAAAAAGAAGGGAUAGAAGAGAAAUUGUGGUGAGUGAGGCAGGAUUAAGGAUGGAGGAAAGGAGAUCAUUACAUGUUAUUUUGUGGAAUAAGGAGAAGGAGUGUUCCAAAAAUCGAGAUAGAGUUAGAGACAAGAAGGAAACAGCCAAUUUGGUCAAGAGAGGGAGAUAUAGAGAAAAGGAGAAGGAAUGGGAAAAGCACAGAAAAGAAUGGUGUAAAUUAGCCAUGUGGUGUCAGGGCGUAGACCAUUUGAACAAAGAGAAAAAGGGAC